Molecule: RNA transcript, 3852 nt
Organism: Argiope bruennichi
Lineage: Eukaryota; Metazoa; Arthropoda; Arachnida; Araneae; Araneidae
Exons: 5
Source: RefSeq, a predicted model, not a curated record
AAUACAAAACCACAUUCACCUAUAAAAACUCUGAAUUCAAACUAGUAGCUCCAGCUUCAAAAAAAUUAGCUAGAAUCAUAACACUCGCAGGAAAGAACGAAUGGAUAACCUAUUACAUAAGUAUUAUGUCAUUACGUCAGUUAGUACGACAGUGUGCUAUUACUCGCUUUGUUUACUACUCGCUAACCAUCCACAGUAAGGUUUGCUUGGAAAUCAUAAAGGAAACCAAGGUAUGAAUGGCUGCUAAGCACAGGGCCGGCAAUCUGGGGUGUGUGGCGGAUGCUAUGCACUGGGGCCAGUAAAUUGAAGGGUUCCAACAUGAUUAAGAACUAAAAUAAUGUUCUGAAUGGUAACAGUGGGAUGGAAACAAUAGAGAAAGAAAUUUAACUGGAACAAUCAAUAGUUUUUGAAUUGUACAAAGUUUACAGAAUAAAAUGCUUCAUAUUUCUAUCCUUGCAGGCCUAAUGAUAUUGAAAUUGUGCAUUCUCUACAUGAUUUGAGGCUAAAAUAUGCAAAAAUGACUGAAAUCAAAAAUCUAAAGAUGAUCCGGGAAUGAAAAAUCUACCAGUAGAAAUAAAUAUUUUGCAGAAUUGUCCUUAUAAAGAUGUAAAGAAGGAUUAUAAGCCUUUUUGCCACUUCCUUGAAAGACUUGGUAUUUUACUAUUUAUUUAUUUAUGUUUGGAAGUUGAGAAUUGUUUUCUCUUUGGCAAAUUCUUCAUGUGGAGGAAAGUUAUAUGUAAUAUAAUAUAUAGUUAAUUUGUUAUCAGGAGGGGCAUGUAAACUGGAUUAUUUUUGUUAUGAAGCAUUCAUGACUUUGUUGCUUCUGCUACCAGAAUUGCAAGGUAUAUGCAUAAACUAUCUAUAUUUGAACUAAAUUAUGUAUAAUUUAGUAUGGUAAUUCAUCAUACUAUUAUCUUUCUCUUAGAUACGUCUUAAUUGCACCUGGGAAACAAUUUUAAUAUUCUAGAACUUUUUUAAAGUAAAAGAAUGACUUUCAUUAUGCCUCCUCUCUUUAUUCUUGUGUUUCAACUCACAUUCUAUAACUCAUUACUAAUUUUUGAAAUCCAUAUUACAUCAUUGAAAGUCUUCUUAACCCAAAAAAACCUUAGUAACAAUCAGAGUUUUAUUCCACUGUACCUAGAAGUGUCAAAAUAUUCCUUUAUUUAAUAGCUGCUGAGCAGGCUCUUGAUAUUUCUCUGUAUAAUUUUAAUCUUUAUAUUUAUGAGACUAAAUGUAUUAUAAAAUGUUUCUAUUUCAGAUUGUGCUUUUGGAUGUAACUUAAUCACUUUUUAAUGUAUUCUUAAUAUUGGAACAGAGGUAAUUAAUAAAUUAAAUUUUGCCUGAAACACUUGAUGGUAGCUUGCAUUAAAUGUGCUGUUUGUCUAUAUUUUGUAAAAGCCCAAACAGUAUAUAUACAUUCUUGUUAUUUUAAUUCUUAAAUAUCUUUCUUCAUUCUGCCAAAUUUUUUAGGCUACAAAAAAAUUAUUUCUUUUAUUCUUACUUUGAAUGAAAUUAGUGAAUUAUAUUUUAAAAUAUAUCAAAAUAGUUAUCUUCAGAAAUUUCUGAUAUCUUUUGUUUAUUAUUUGGCACAUACUUAAUUUUUUUUGUAGUUCAAUAAUAAUAGUGUCUAUUAAAAAUAUUUUUGUGAAGUUCAAAUUAAAAUAUUGCACUUUUAAUGGAUUCCCUUUAUGAUGAUCAAAAAGUUCUGGUAUUUAUUGUAUGAUGAGAGACUGAGUGCAAAUUGAACUUUUUUGGUGAUAUUCUUUCAAAGUGAAUAAAUACCUUGGGGAAUCACCAUUAUGGAGAUGCAAAUGAGGAUUACAAGCUACAUAGAAACUUUCAUUAAUUAUAUUCUUCUUCCAUGUUCUUUUAAAGCCUAAAUAUUGUAUAUAAAUUCUUAAUGGGCAAUAAGUUUUGGAUGCUGUGUAUGGCAUUUCAUAAUUUUGUGUAUAUUUAAAUUAAGUAUUCAUGAUGAGAAAAUUAAGAAAGGUAUGGUCAGAUUGUUGAGAUUGGUGCAUUUUUUUUUAAUUAUCUGACAUAUGCACUUAUUAAAAUGAUUGUGAAAAAUUAAAUUUUUUUUCUAUAUAUAUUAUAUAAUCUAUUUUCAUUAUUUAAUAAAUAUUUUUAUUAAUAAAUUCUUCUAUGAUCUGUUUUAAUAUCAUUUCUAGAUUACAUGUUUGGGACAUUAAACAACUAAUCUAAAUAUUUAAUGCUGUAGAGUUUUUGUGAUUCUUGUUGGCAGUAUUGAUUUCAAGUAAAUAUCUGGUUGAACCCUGGUUGUUUUUUUAAUAAUACUGUAUUUUAAAUGUUUCAUAUUUAUUUCAUAUUCAGACUUUGUAAAUAUUUUUGGCAUUUUUAAGUUGGGAAGAAAUGUUAUUUAUCAAAUCUUAAUUAUUUUUUUAUAAAAAAGUAGCUAAGCACUAAGAAAAUAGAUUUCAUAAUUUUUUCUCUUUUUUUGUUUCAAUAUUAUUUUUCUUUAGUGAGAAACUCAUGUAUGCUUGAAAAUUUGUAAAUGAGGUUUGCAUUCUUGAGAUUUUUCAGAAUUCCUCUUUUUCUCUAUUCAUCAUAUUAUUUACUUUUUCAAUCAUUCGAAGUUGGUGGCUUAAACGUGUAAAGUUUGAUCACAAAUUUGUAUGAAUUGUUUAUAUAGUUUCAUUUUUCCCUUCUCAAAAUAUGAAAUUUUGUAGUCAUGCCACUGAUUAUUAAUGUGUGAUUAUUUUGAUGAAUUAUAAAUCAGAUAAAAUAAAAAAAAUGUAAAAGUAUUUUUUAAAUUUCAUCAUGUUUAUGCAUGUCAAAACACUUUUAUUACAAGAAUAAUUACACAUUUAGAAAUGAAAGUACUUUAUAAAAUUGUUCAUUGCCCAUUACUUAUCCAAGAUGGAACAAAAAUGCGAGUCAGUAUUAACUGUAGAGCAGCUUUAUAUUUUUGAUCUAAUGGCAUUGUGGAAAAAUGAUCAAAAAUUAAAUUGUUGUUAGAAAGUGCAUAUAUAAAUUGCAGUCCCAGUGUGAUUGUUAUUAUUUUCAAUAUAUAUUAUAAAAAAUAAUAUAUAUUGAAGACUAAUUUCCUUCAUAUAACGUGUCUGAGCUCAAAAAAAUUCACUACAGUGCCUUGCAGAUAAAUUGUAUUGUUGCACUACUCAUUCUAUGAUGGAGUGAAGAAUUUGUGUUAAUUUUUAAAAUCUACAUGAUAAAUUUGACAGCACUUUUGAUAAAUACAAAGAAGAAAAUUCAUUUGACAUGAACAAGGAAUGAUAAAUAUGAAUAAUAUAAUAUUUUUAACAUAUAGGCUUAAUAAAUCUGUUGUCAAUUUUUAAAAUUAGUAAAGCAAAAUAGCAUUGUUAAUAUGUAAAACAUUUCUCAAUGAUGAAUCAGAAAGAAACUAUUCAUGUAUAUAUUGCUUCGGUUUUUUAAUUUAACCCUUUGCACUCCUAUAUCAAGUAUAACUUACGAUAUUCUGAAAAAUACGUCGUUUUCAUUUCUUGUUAGAUAAUGAUUAAAAUAGAAGUCUUUUAAUAGCAAAAACUUUGACAUUACUUUUUUGGAAUAAUAACAAACAUAUAACUAUAUUUUUCAAUGUCCAAAACACAUUAAAAAAAUUAUCGCACUCAUAUGCAUAUUUAUGUACCUCAUUACUUUUUGGCGUGUAAAGGAUUGAUUCUGACUACAUUCAGUGUAUCAGAAUUUUAAUUUCACAUUAAAAAGCUAGCUCCAUACUAGUUAGGACUGAUAUUAAAUUUUUAUCAAUAUUUUUAUUUUUAAGUAUUAUUUAGAUGCUAUUUGUGAUGCAUUCUUAAUCAUAUUUAAAUUGAGGGGUCCUUUAUUUUGAUGAAUGCUAGUUAACUUGUAUUAAAG